Molecule: ribosomal RNA, 451 nt
Filed under: uncultured bacterium
Lineage: Bacteria
Description: bacterial SSU rRNA
Rfam family: Bacterial small subunit ribosomal RNA
Source: RNAcentral
GUGGGGAAUAUUGGACAAUGGGGGGAACCCUGAUCCAGCCAUGCCGCGUGUGUGAAGAAGGCCUUUUGGUUGUAAAGCACUUUAAGCGAGGAGGAGGCUACCGAGAUUAAUACUCUUGGAUAGUGGACGUUACUCGCAGAAUAAGCACCGGCUAACUCUGUGCCAGCAGCCGCGGUAAUACAGAGGGUGCAAGCGUUAAUCGGAUUUACUGGGCGUAAAGCGCGCGUAGGUGGCCAAUUAAGUCAAAUGUGAAAUCCCCGAGCUUAACUUGGGAAUUGCAUUCGAUACUGGUUGGCUAGAGUAUGGGAGAGGAUGGUAGAAUUCCAGGUGUAGCGGUGAAAUGCGUAGAGAUCUGGAGGAAUACCGAUGGCGAAGGCAGCCAUCUGGCCUAAUACUGACACUGAGGUGCGAAAGCAUGGGGAGCAAACAGGAUUAGAAACCCGGGUAGUCC